This 518-nucleotide ribosomal RNA is filed under the name Lutzomyia trinidadensis. Its description in RNAcentral is "SSU rRNA". It matches the Rfam family "Eukaryotic small subunit ribosomal RNA", at positions 1332 to 1773 of the family's 1831-position model. Lineage: Eukaryota; Metazoa; Arthropoda; Insecta; Diptera; Psychodidae. The record is from RNAcentral.
CGAACGAGACUCAAACUUUUUUAAAUAGAUGCUUGCAGGUUUAUGACGCUGAAACUAUGUGCGUGGGUGCUUUGGUUGUGCAAGCAGCCUUGGUGCUUAUGUGCAUGGUGGAGUUAUACCUGUUUGGUUUGUCUUAAGAGGACACUUUGCUUCUUAAAGGGACAAAAUGCGUCUAGCAUUAUGAGAUUGAGCAAUAACAGGUCUGUGAUGCCCUUAGAUGUCCUGGGCUGCACGCGCGCUACAAUGAAGGUAUCAAUGUGUUUUAUCCUUGACCGAGAGGUAUGGGUAAACAUUGAACCACCUUCUUGGUUGGGAUUGUGGACUGUAACUGUUCACAUGAACCCGGAAUUCCCAGUAAGUGUGAGUCAUAAGCUUGCAUUGAUUACGUCCCUGCCCUUUGUACACACCGCCCGUCGCUACUACUGAUGAAUUGUUUAGUGAGGUCUCUGGACGUGUGCGCCGAAAUACUCUUGUAGUAAUUUGGUUUGUUACACAGAAGUUGACCGAACUUGAUUAUU